RNAcentral lists this long non-coding RNA (18063 nucleotides) under Prunus persica (peach). Its description in RNAcentral is "long non-coding RNA (PPER_LNC004670)". The record is from RNAcentral. Lineage: Eukaryota; Viridiplantae; Streptophyta; Magnoliopsida; Rosales; Rosaceae.
GGCAAUUCAGGUUUGUACGAAGUUCGUUCUGAAACGGAGUGGUUGGUGUAUUGGAUAAUUUUAGCCAUUGGAUUUCGCUCAAAACUCGCCAAAUGACUCCUGAUAGGAUUUUUAGUACCUGUGUAAACAAGGUUAAAAUCACAUAGAAUACUUGCAAGAAUACAAGGCUAUUGUAGUAUAGAUGCUCAUGCAAGGUCGUUUUCCUCAAGGACCAAUUAGCAAUUUAAGUAAAAACAAAUUCCAAAAAAAACUACUUAAAAUAAAAGGUGAAGAAAGAUGAUUAUGAAUUUGGUUGAUUCUAAAAACAAAUAUUAAACAAAAACAAAUACGAUAGAAGGAAAGAGUUUUGAAUAUCAAUUUAUAAAAGCACUUACCAUCACCUAGCACUCCUAUGAACUUUUACCAAUUACUUAUGAUUUGCACAUGCCACUUUGAAGGUUAGGUUUUCCUAAUGUAUAUUCUACUUGGAACCUCCAACACAGAACGUAUAUCCAACAUGCAACCCGUCCGGACGUUCGGAUCAAAUCUGAACAUGAAAGACUCAUUAAGUUUUUGUGAAAACCCUAUGAAAAACCAUGCAACCCUUAAGACGUGGUGUUCAUCUUAAGUGAAAUUACAAUUAUUAAUCACAAGAAGCUAGCAUCAAUUUCAGGGAACCUUCCGACCAAAAUUGCAUCCAAUUACUUUUCUAAAGAUCCUAAUGGUGAUCAGGCAUUAAGACAAUUAGAUAGUUUAAAACAGUGAUUAACAAUUCAAGUAGGCAUGCACUCAUCAUAAGCAAUUAAAUAAAAAUCACAUAUUCAUGCUAAGGUUCAAGGCUUCACCCUAGCAAAAGAAAUUUAGUUACGCAUACUUAUAAUUGAAAUCCAAGAAAAUAUCAUUAAGAAGAAAAGAACGAAAACACCAGAAAGUUGGAAAACCCAAAACCCUAGCAAUUGCUCUCCACAAUGCAAAGUUCAAAAGUGAAAAAGAAGUCCAAAUUUCCUUGUGAGAAAGAGCUUAAAUACCCCUUAAAACCUAGCUGCCAAUGUACAGCUUUUCUAUCCCCACAAGGAAACUAAUUAAAAUAAAAUAAUACUAGGAAAUAAAGUCCAAAUUGGAAUAGGAGAAUCUGCCCAAAACCUGCCCCGCCACGUUUUGGCCCCAAAUCUCCUCCAAAUCUGGCCCAAUAUAGGUUGUUUUAAAGAUAAAAAUGUUCUGAACACUUCUCUAGAAGGCCAUGAACCCAUCCGAGGUCAUCUUGGGCUCCAAAAAUGCAAUAAAAGCCCAACACGUCAUUAUUCCAGCACCGCGCACUGCUCCUUUAUUUUAUUGCCAGAAAAUAACUGCUUGGAAGAAAAAUCUGAAAUUUUGAUACGAUCAAGCUAAGUGACUCACGAACGUCCUCCAACUAGAAUUACUCCAAAAUUCGUCCAUUGGUUAUGUUUUGCUCCAGAGAGAGUCGAAAGUCCUAUAUUGGAAAUAUAAUUCGAAGUAUCAAAAUUCUUCCAAAAUAUUAACCAAAAUAUACUAAGAAUGAGGUUAAAUAUAUAAUAUAAAAUAUGUCCAUCAAAAUACCCCCAAACUUAGUUUUUGCUUGUCCUCAAGCGAAACAAGACUCAAACAAAAAUAAAACUUAACAGAUUAGACAUCUGGCUAACACUUAACCAGGACAAAAUUUCCACCGUCAAGUUGCAAUCCAUAGAAAAUUUUAAAAACUAGAACAUCCUUUCAAUAGAUCCAAGUAAUCCCACCACAGAGUCUAAGCUAUUUAGACUCAAUUAGAAAAGAAUUCACAAACUUCCUUCAGUGUAAAGUGAACCAUCAUGGUUAAGGAGACUCGACUAAAUCCCUUACCUCUCAUCCCUUUUAUUCAUACUUCACACUCCACACUUUUUUUUUUUUCCUCUUUUCGUUUUUGUUUUUGUUUUUUUUGUUUUUGUUUUUUUUUUGUUUUUUUGUUUUUGUUUUUUUAUAGUAACAGUAGUGGUUGUGCAAUGUUGGUUCCCUUAAGCUUUCGAUCCAACCGUGUAGCAAGCUUUAGGUCAAUGUCUCCCAAACCACUCGGGUUUUAGGGCACUAGGUGUAGAACACCCUAAGGACUUAUUAACUCAAGCUGAAAAGGCUACGAAACCAACUAACCACCCUACCUCAUGCCAAAACUCUACCGUUUGUCUCGAGAAUCACUGCUGAUUAGGCAGGACUGGCUCGGUUACUAGCAAAGCUUCGGGUGAGGCAAUUAUUACUUUAUAACACAUACUAACUUUAUUUAUAUUGAACAGAAAUUAAAACACACUUGGACAAAAAGUAAGUAUUACAAUCUCACUCCCCAAAAACCAUGUUGAUGUGAUGUGCAAAUUUCAAAGUAUAAUUCAUGAAUUAGUGUCUAAGCAACAAUAAAUAGAAAAGACUCUAUUGUGGGAUUGAUCUUCACCAUGUCCAUUUGUUCUAACGUUUAAAAUAAUCUAUCUAUGGAUAUUAACUUAAAAACGAAAUUUUUUAAACAAGACUCAAAAAAUGAAAAAUAUAAAAUUUACUUUCCCACCCCCAAACUUAAAUCACACUUUGUCCUCAAGGUGUGGAAAAUAAACAAAGGAAACAACUAAAGAAGUAAUUAGGAGAGAAAAAUAAAAAACUAAAAAGAAAAGAAAAGAACAUAAAACAUAAACAGAAAAAAGUAAAAGAGAAAAAUAAAAAACGAAAUAAAAAAAAUGAACACACCAGGGAUGCGGAGGUGACGCUGCGGUGAUUCGAAGGCAUGACCUGUAGCUAGGAUGCGAAGAGCGCUGACCCACAGCCCAAGUCCACACAUGUGUCAAAUAUUGGCAACGGCUGCAAUAUAACCUGGUGCAUCCGCUGCAUGUGUCAUUUGAAAACAAAUUGGAUCCCCUUCGUCUAACCUCGUGUCCAGAGCCAACAAGCUCGCCUUUGGCCAUUCCCAGCUCGGAUUGUAAAUUACAAAAGACGCUUUUGUAUUGCACUUAUUGUCAACCCAUCCAUCUCCACCCUCUCCCUUUGUUAUCUCUAGCAAGAACUCAAGAGCCUUGGCUAUCUUUCAGAGCAUAGUCAUGUGGGUUCAUCUGUGUGAGGGUGCCAGAUCCAGAAAACCUUCAACAAAAUCAAAAUCACCAUCCGCUGCGGCUUCGUCGAAGAGACAAUCGGAUCCUCACCGAGAUUCGUCCCAACUCCGACCCCAACGACUCGGAUGAGCUGACCCAGACCGAGUUCAACCCGAACACCACAUACACUCGGAGUUCCUGAGCUUGGUUAACGGUAAGCUUCGCGUUGUGCUCGUAACUGGGUCUCAGUGUGGGUAUUUUUGUGUUGAAAGUAAUUAAGAACAAGAAUGAUUAUUGCAGACUUCGUUGCCUUGUUCUGAGAUACUCAUCCUCGUCUGUUUUCAUCAGCUUCAAUUUUAGAGUUGCAUCAACCUUGGAAAUAAUGCGUGGAGACUUGCGGAUUUCAGCGAGCAAGUCAAUCUUCAAGUUGGGAGUAGGUAUAAUAUCGAAUCCCUGCAAGUCUUUUCUUUUUUUUUUUUCUUUUUUUUUUUUGUAGAUCUGCAUUAAUUCAUGGGUCUUUCUGGAUUGUGAGAAUUUCUACUUAUUUGUGUCUUUUGGUUGGUUCUGAUAGCGAUACUCAGUUGUGUGGUGUUUGGCUAUGUGAUGUAAACUGAGCUGCAAAAAAAAUGAACUUCUCAAAUUAUAUAUAUGUGCUGGAUCUGCAACAGCUUCCCCCAAACUUGCAUCUUUGAGUGAGCUCAUCUGAAUUACUUUAACUUCCAGUAUAGUGUAGAUGUGGUGAUGUUAAUGUAGACUUGCUGCUGGGUGCAUGAUUCCAGCUGCUGCUGGGUGCAAGAUUCCAGCUGCUACUGGGUGCAAGAUUCCAGUAUAGGAUUUUCUGUUUUUGAUGCUUGCUGCUGAUGGUUGUGUCCUGCAUUGAGUCAAUUAUGUGUUAGGAAUAGAAAGAAAAUAGAAACAACUAGAUAAAGAAAACAACAAUUUUUUUUUUAUUUUUUAUUUUGUUUUUUCGAAAAUAAAAGAAGUAAAGAGUUUAGAAAAAUUGGGUCGCCUCCCAAUAAGCGCUUUAUUUUAAGUCUGUAGCUGGACUUUGCAGAAGCCUGGUGGUCAAAUCACUGGUUCCUUCAGAGUCAAAGACUCGGCUGCAAUGUCAAACGGUGUCUCCACGUAGGGUUUCAGCCUAUGACCAUUCACCUUGAAUGUGUUGCCUUUAUCUUCAUUAGUGAUUUGAACUGCUCCAUGAGGAAAAACUUGAGUCACUAGGUAGGGUCCAGUCCAACGAGAUUUUAAUUUCCUUGGAAACAACUUGAGCCUUGAACUAAAUAAUAGAACCUUUUGCCCUGGCUGAAAUUCCUUCCGUAAAAUUUGACUGUCAUGAAAUGCAUUAGUUCUUUCCUUGUAGAUGCGAGAACUAUCAUAAGCACCUUGACGAAUUUCCUCUAGCUCAUUUAACUGCAAUUUCCGCUUUUCCCCAGCUGAGUCAUAUGCAAAAUUUAACUCUUUAAUGGCCCAGUAAGCUUAUGCUCCAGCUCCAUAGGUAGAUGACAGGCUUUCCCAUAAACAGUCGGAAUGGUGACAUCCCAAUAGGAGUUUUAUAAGCUGUCCUGUAUGCCCACAAAGCAUCAUUUAGUUUGAAACUCCAAUCCUUGCGUGUAGAGCUCACUGUUUUCUCCAAAAUACGCUUUAUUUCUCUGUUUGAAACUUCAACUUGACCAGAUGUCUGUGGGUGGUAUGGUGUAGCCACGCGAUGAUUAAUCCCAUAUUUUGCAAGUAGGUUAGCAAAUGGUUUAUUAAUAAAAUGCUUCCCCCCAUCACUAAGAAUAACACGCGGAAUUCCAAAACGUGGAAAUAUAACCCCCUAGAGGAACUUCAGGACAACUGAUCCUUGAUUAGUUGGUGCUGCAAUGGCCUCGACCCACUUUGAAACAUAUUCCACAGCCACUAAAAUAUAUUGGUGCCCGUUAGAAGAUGGGAAUGGUCCCAUGAAAUCAAUACCCCAAACAUCAAAUAGUUCAACAAUUAGGAUACUUUGCUAGGGCAUCUCAUUCCUUUUGGAUUGAUUGCCGACCCUUUGACACCUAUCACAUGCCUUGCACCAAUUCUGUGAAUCUCUAAAAAGUGUUGGCCAAAAUAACCCACUCUGUAGGAUUUUCUCUGCUGUCCUUUUCUGCCCAAAAUGUCCUCCACAAGCGUAGUGAUGAGCAAACUUUAAAACACUUUCCUGUUCAGCCUCCGGAAUACACCUGCGAAUAAUCUGGUCUGCACAAUACUUGUAUAAGUACGGUUCAUCCCAGAAAUAGUGCUUUACAUCAGAUAAAAACUUCUUUUUCUGUUGGUAGGAAAAAUCUGGAUGCACCACACCCUUAGCCAAAUAAUUGACAAUAUCUGCAAACCAAGGUGUGUCAAUUUUGACAGCAAAUAGCUGUUCAUCUAGGAAACUUUCACUCAAUGGUAGAGAAUAUGCCUCUGUAGCUGCUGGAAUAAUUAAUCUAGAUAAAUGAUCAGCCACAACAUUCUCACUGCCCUUCUUGUCUUUAAUCUCUAAGUCAAAUUCUUGAAGUAAAAGAACCCAACGAAUCAAUCUAGGCUUUGCAUCCUUCUUAGACAACAAGUAUUUUAGUGCAGCAUGAUUCGUAUAGACAAUUAUUUUAGCCCCAACCAAAUAAGACCGAAAUUUCUCUAGUGCGAACACAACUGCCAACAAUUCCUUCUCUGUAGUUGCAUAGUUAAGCUGUGCAUCAUUGAUAGUACGACUUGCAUAAUAGAUGACAUGGGGAAGCUUAUCUUUUCGCUGCCCUAAAACUGCCCCAACACCAUAAUCUGACGCAUCACACAUUAGUUCAAAUGGUAAAUCCCAAUUUGGUGCAGCAAUGAUGGGUGCCGAAGUUAAGAGUGCUUUCAACUUGUUGAAUGCUUCUAAACAAGCCUUAUCAAAAUUAAAUGGUGCAUCCUUAGCCAAUAAAGUGCACAAAGGUCGACUAAUCUUGGAGAAAUCCUUGAUGAACCGACGAUAAAAACCUGCGUGUCCUAAGAAGGACCUCACACCUUUUACUGAUGUAGGAGGUGGCAGCUUUGCAAUAACUUCAAUCUUUGCUUUGUCAACCUCAAUGCCUUUGCUAGAAAUUGAAUGACCCAAGACAAUUCCCUGUUCAACCAUGAAAUGACACUUUUCCUAGUUUAGCACUAAAUUCGUCGCUUGACAUCUCUGAAGAACUAAUGAUAAAUUUUGUAAAACUUCCCCAAAAAUAGAAAAAUCAUCCAUAAAAACUUCCACAAUAUUUUCGACCAAGCCAGAAAAAAUACUCAUCAUACAAUGUUGAAACGUAGCAGGUGCAUUGCAUAAUUCGAACGGCAUCCUCCGAUAAGCAUAAGUACCAAAUGGACAAGUGAAAGUAGUCUUCUCUUGAUCCUCUAGUGCGAUUGGAAUCUAAUUAUACCCAGAAUACCCAUCAAGAAAACAGUAAAAAGCUCGCCCAGCCAACCUUUUUAACAUCUGGUCAAUAAAAGGCAAUGGAAAAUGGUCUUUUCACGUCCCAGUGUUAAGCUUCCGAUAAUCUACACACAUUCUCCAACCCGUAGUCAAUCGUGUAGGAACUAACUCAUUAUUAACAUUUUUCACCAUUGUAAUACCGGUCCGUUUAGGCACAACUUGAGUAGGGCUAACCCAUUUACUGUCAGAAAUAGGAUAAAUCAUACCUGCAUCAAGUAAUUUCAUAACCUCUGUUCUGACCACCUCUUUCAUAAUUGGGUUAAGGCGGCGUUGAGCAUCAACUGUUGGCUUCACGUCGUCUUCCAUUAAUAUUCCGUGCAUACAUAGUGCUGGGCUGAUUCCCUUGAUGUCCGCAAUUGUCCAUCCCAAUGCAUCUUGAUAUUUUCUCAACACACGAAGCAAUUUAUCUUCCUCUGUUGGUGUUAAAUCCGCUGCAAUUAUAACUGGCAGCGUCUCUACAGCUCCUAACUAUGCAUAUUUAAGAUGUUGUGGUAAAGGCUUCAUGAUGUUCCCCAAGUUUUGAACUCAAUCCGAUAUGAAAUGGAGUGGAUGGUGUAAUGCAUAGUUCUAGAGAUUGGAUUUCACUCAAAACAAGCCAAAUGACUCCUCCCACCGUAUUAUGAUGUUCCCCAAGUUUUGGACACAAUCCGAUAUCGACUAGUCCAUGAAAUUGGGCAAUUCAAGUUUGUACGAAGUUCGUUCUGAAAUUUAAUGGUUGGUGUAUUGCAUAGUUUUAGCCAUUGGAUUUCAGUCAAAACUCGCCAAAUGACUCCUCCCACCAUAUUAUGAUGUUCCCCAAGUUUUGGACUCAAUCCGAUAUCUAUUGGUCCAUGAAAUUGGACAAUUCAGGUUCGUACGAAGUUCAUUUUGAAAUGGAGUGGUUGGGGUAUCGCUUAGUUCUAUAGAUUGGAUUUCACUCAAAACCCACCAAAUGACUCCUCCCACCAUUUUAUGAUGUUCCCCAAGUUUUGGACUCAAUACAAUAUCAAUUCGUCCAUGAAAUUGGACAAUUCAGGUUCGUACGAAGUUCGUUAUGAAAUGGUGUGGUUGUUGUAUUGCAUAGUUAUAGCGACUGGAUUUCACUAAAAACUUCAAAAAUGACUCCUCCCAAAACAUUAUGAUGUUCCCCAAGUUUUGGACUCAAUCCGAUUUCGAUUGUUCCAUGAAAUUGGACGAUUAAGGUACAUACGAAGUUCAUUAUGUAAUGGAGUGGUUGGUGUAUUGCAUAGUGUUAGCCACUGGAUUUCACUCAAAACUCACCAAAUGACUCCUCCCACCAUAUUAUGAUGUUCCCCAAGUUUUGGGCUCAAUCCGAUAUCGAUUGGUCCAAGAAAUUGGACUAUUCAUUUUUGUACAAAGUUCGUUCUAAAAUGGAGUGGUUGGUGUAUUGCAUAGUUCUGGAGAUUGGAUUUCACUCAAAACCCACCAAAUGACUCCACCCACCAUAUUAUCAUGUUCCCCAAGAUUCGGACUCAAUCCGAUAUCGAUUGGUCCAUGAAAUUGGACAAUUCAGGUUCGUACGAAGUUCGUUAUGAAAUGUGGUGGUUGUUGUAUUGCAUAGUUUUAGCCAUUGGAUUUCCUUCAAAACUAACCAAAUGACCCGUCCCACCAUAUUAUGUUGUUCCCUUUAAGGUUCGUACGAAGUUCAUUCUGAAAUGCAGUGGUUUGUGUAUUGCAUUGGAUUUCACUCAAAACUCACAAAAUUAGUCCUCCCACAACAUUAUGAUGUUCCCCAAGUUUUGGACUUCAUCCGAUAUCGAUUGGUCCACAAAAUCGGACAAUUCAGGUUCGUACAAAAUUCGUUCUGAAAUGGAGUGGUUGUUGUAUUCCAUAGUUUUGGCCAUUGGAUUUCACUGAAAACUCACCAAAUGACUCCUCCAACAAUAUUAAGAUGUUCUCCAAGUUUUGGACUCAAUCCGAUAUCGAUUGGUCGACGAAAUUGGACAAUUCAGGUUCGUACAAAGUUCGUUAUGAAAUGGAGUGGUUGUUGUAUUGCAUAGUUUUAGCCAUUGGAUUUCGCUCUAAACUCACCAAAUGACUCCUCCCACCACAUUAUGUUGUUCCCUAUGUUUUGGACUCAAUCGGAUAUUGAUCGGUCCGUGAAAUUGGACAAUUCAGGUUCGUAUGAAGUUCGUUUUGAAAUGGAGUGGUUGGUGUAUUCCAUUGUUUUAGCCAUUGGAUUUCACUCAAAACUCACAAAAUGACCCCUCCCACAACAUUAUGUUGUUCCCCAAGUUUUGGACUCAAUUCGAUAUGGAUUGGUCUAUGAAAUUGGACAAUUCAGGUUUGUACGAAGGUCGUUAUGAAAUGCAGUGGUUGGUGUGUUGCAUAGUACUAGAGAUUGGAUUUCACUGAAAACCCACCAAAUGACUCGUCCCACUAUAUUAUGAUGUUCCCCAAGUUUUGGACUCAAUCCGAUAUCCAUUGGUUCAUGAAAUCGGACAAUUCAGGUUCGUACGAAGUUCGUUAUGAAAUGGAAUGGUUGGUGUAUUGCAUAGUUUUCGCCAUUGGAUUUCACUCAAAACUCACCAAAUGACUCCUCCCCCCAUAUUAUGACGUUCUCUAAGUUUUGGACUCAAUCCGAUAUCGAUUGGUCCAUGAAAUCGGAUAAUUCAGGUUCGUACGAAGUUCAGUCUAAAAUAGAGUGGUUGGUGUAUUGAAUUGUUUUAGCCACAGGAUUUCACUCAAAACUCAGAAAAUGACUCCUCCCAUAGCAUUAUGAUGUUCCCCAAGUCUUGGACUCAAUCCGAUAUCGAUUGGUCCGUCAAAUUGGACAAUUCAGGUUCGUAUGAAGUUCAUUUUGAAAUGGAGUAGUUGGUGUAUUACAUAGUUCUAGAGAUUGGAUUUCACUCAAAACCCACCAAAUGACCUCUCCCACAACAUUAUGAUGUUCCCCAAGUUUUGGACUCAAUCCAAUAUCGAUCGGUCCAUGAAAUCGGACAAUUCAGGUUCGUACAAAGUUCGUUUUGAAAUGGAGUGAUUGUUGUAUUGCAUAGUUUUAGACAUUGGAUUUCACUCAAAACUCACCAAAUGACUCCUCCCACCAUAUUAUGUUGUUCCCUAUGUUUUGGACCCAAUCCGAUAUCGAUCAAUCCAUGAAAUCGGAUUUAGGUUCGUAUGAAGUUCAUUCUGAAAUGGAGUGGUUGGUGUAUUGCAUAGUUUUAGCCAUUGGAUUUCAUUAAAAACUCACCAAAUGAGUCCUCCCACCAUAUUGUGAUGUUCCCUAAGUUUUGGACUCAAUCCGAUAUCGAUUAGUCCAUGAAUUCGGACAAUUCAGCUCGUACGAAGUUCGUUCUGAAAUGGAGUGGUUGGUGUAUUGCAUCGUUUUAGCCGUUGGACUUCACUCAAAACUCACAAAAUGACUCAUCCCACAACAGUACGAUGUUCCCCAAGUUUUGGACUUAAUCCGAUAUCGAUUGGUCCAUGAAAUCGGACAAUUCAGCUUCGUACGAAGUUCAUUAUGAAAUGGAGUGGUUGGUGUACUGCAUAGUUUUAGACAUUGGACUUCACUCAAAACCCACCAAAUGACUCCUCCCACAAUAUUAUGAUGUUCCCCCAGUUUUGGAUUCAAUCCGAUAUCGAUUGGUCCAUGAAAUCGGACCAUUCAGGUUCGUACAAAGUUCGUUAUGAAAUGGAGUGGUUGGUGGAUUGCGUAGUUUUAGCCUUUGGAUUUCACUCGAAACUCACCAAAUGAGUCCUCCCACCAUAUUAUGAUGUUGACCACAUUUUGGGCUCAAUCCGAUAUCGAUUGCCAAUGAAAUUGGACAAUUCAAGUUCGUACGAAGUUUGUUCCGUAAGUGGUGUGGUUGGUGUAUUGCAUAGUUUUCGCAAUUGGAUUUCACUAAAAACUCACCAAAUGACUCCGCCCACCAUAUUGUGAUGUUCCUCAAGUUUUUGACACAAUCCGAUAUCGAUUGGUCCAUAAAAUCGUACAAUUCAGGUUCGUACGAAGUUAAUUCUGAAAUGGAGUGGUUGGUGAAUUGCAUAGUUCUAGAGAUUGGAUUUCACUGAAAACCCCCAAAAUGACUCUUCCCACUAUAUUAUGAUGUUCUCCAAGUUUUGGAAUGAAUCCGAUAUCGAUUGGUCCAUGAAAUCGGACAAUUCAGGUUCGUACGAUGUUCGUUUUGAAACGGAGUGGUUGGUGUAUUGCAUAGUUUUGGCAAUUCGAAUUUACUUAAAACACACCAAAUGACUCCUCCCUCAAUAUUAUGAUGUUCCCCAAGUUUUGGACUCAAUCCGAUAUCAAUCGGUCUGUGAAAUUGGGCUAAUCAUAUUUGUACGAAGUUCGUUCUCUAAUGGAGUGGUUGAUGUAUUUCAUAGUUUUUGCUUUUAGCUUUCACUCAAAACCCAACAAAAGAAUCCUCCCACUAUAUUAUGAUGUUCCCCAAGUUUUGGACUCAAUCCGAUAUCAAUUGGUCCAUGAAAUCGGACAAUUCAGGUUGUACAAAGUUCGUUACGAAAUGGAGUGGUUGGUGUAUUGCAUAGUUUUAGCCAUUGGAUUUCACUCAAAAGUCACCAAAUGACUCCACCAACCAUAUCAUGAUGUUCCACAAGUUUUGGACACUAUCCGAUAUCGAUUAGUCCAAGAAAUCCAAAAAUUCAGGUUCGUACGAAGUUCUUUCUGAAAUGGAGUGGUUGGUGUAUUGUAUAGAUCUAGAGAUUGGAUUUCACUCAAAACCAUCCAAAUCACUCCUCCCACAAUAUUUUCAUGUUUCCCAAGUUUUGGACUCAAUCCGAUAUCGAUUGGUCCAUGAAAUCGGACAAUUCAUUUUAGUACGAAGUUUGUUCUGAAAUUGAGUGGUUGUUGCAUUUCAUAGUUUUAGCCAUUGGAUUUCACUCAAAACUCACCGAAUGACUCCUCCCAUCAUAUUAUGUUGUUUCCCAAGUUUUGGACUCAAUCCAAUAUCGAUUGGUCCAUGAAAUUGGACAAUUCAGGCCCGUACAAAGUUCGUUCUGAAAUGGAGUGGUUAGUGUAUUGCAUAGUUCUAGAGAUUGGAUUUCACUGAAAACCCACCAAAUGACGCCUCCCACUAUGUUAUGAUGUUCCCUAAGUUUUGGACUCCAUCCCAUAUUGAUUUGUCCAUGAAAUUGGACAAUUCAUGUUCGUACGAAGUUCGUUAAGAAAUCGAGUGGUUGGUGUAUUGCAUAGUAUUAGCCACUGGAUUUCACUCAAAACUCACCAAAUGACUCCUCCCACCAUAUUAUGACGUUCCCUAAGUUUGGACUCAAUCUGAUAUCGAUUAGUCCAUGAAAUCGGACAAUUCAGGUUCGUACGAAGUUCAUUCUGAAAUGGAGUGGUUGGUGUAUUGGAUAGUUCUAGAGAUCGGAUUUCACUAAAAAAAAUACCAUAUGACUCCUCCCACCAUAUUAUGAUGUUUCCCAAGUUUUGGACUCAAUCCAAUAUCGAUUGAUCCAUGAAAUUGGACAAUUCAGGCCCGUACGAAGUUAGUUCUGAAAUGGAGUGGUUAGUGUAUUGCAUAGUUCUAGAGAUUGGAUUUCCCUGAAAACCCACCAAAUGACGCCUCCCACUAUGUUAUGUUGUUCCCUAAGUUUUGGACUCCAUCCCAUAUUGAUUUGUCCGUGAAAUUGGACAAUUCAUGUUCGUACGAGAAACCGAGCGGUUGGUGUAUUGCAUAGUUUUAGCCACUGGAUUUCACUCAAAACUCACCAAAUGACUCCUCUCACCAUAUUAUGACGUUCCCUAAGUUCUGGACUCAAUCUGAUAUCGAUUAGUCUAUGAAAUCGGACAAUUCAGGUUCGUACGAAGUUCAUUCUGAAAUAGAGCUGGUGUAUUGCAUUGUUUUAUCCGUUGGAUUUCGCUCAAAAUUCACGAAAUGACUCCUCCCACAACAUUAUGAUGUUCGCCGAGUUUUGGACUCAAUCCGAUAUCGAUCGGUCCAUGAAAUUGGACAAUUCAGGUUCGUACGAAGUUCGUUAUGAAAUGGAGUGGUUGUUGUAUUGCAUAGUUUUAGCCAUUGGAUUUCGCUCAAAACUCAGCAAAUGACUCCUCCCACCAUAUUAUGUUGUUCCCUAAGUUUUGGACUCAAUUCGAUAACGAUCGGUCCAUGAAAUCAGAUUUAGGUUCGUACGAAGUUCGUUCUGAAAUGGAAUGGUUAGUGUAGUGCAUUGUCUUAGCCAUUGGAUUUCUCUGAAAACUCACAAAAUGACUCCUCCCACAACAUUAUGAUGUUCUCCAAUUUUUAGACUCACUCUGAUAUCGAUUGGUCUAUGAAAUUGGACAAUUCAGGUUCCUACGAAGUUCGUUAUGAAAUGGAGUAGUCGGUGUAUUGUAUAGUUCUAGAGAUUGGAUUUCACUCAAAACCCACCAAAUGACACCUCCAACAAUAUUAUGAUGUUCCCCAAGUUUUGGACUCAAUCCGAUAUCGAUUGUUCCAUGAAAUAGGACAAUUCAGGUUCGUACAAAGUUCGUUCUGAAAUGGAGUGGUUGUAUUCCAUAGUUUUAGCCAUUGGAUUUCACUGAAAACUCACCAAAUGACUCCUCCAACAAUAUUAUGAUGUUCUCCAAGUUUUGGACCCAAUCCGAUAUUGAUUGGUCCAUGAAAUUGGACAAUUCAGCUUCGUACGAAGUUCGUUAUGAAAUUGAGUGGUUGUUGUAUUGCAUAGUUCUAGCCAUUGGAUUUCGCUCAAAACUCACCAAAUGACUCCUCCCACCAUAUUAUGUUGUUUCCUAUGUUUUGGACUCAAUCCGAUAUCGAUUGGUCCAUGAAAUCGGAUAAUUCAGGUUCAUACGAAGGUCGUUAUGAAAUGGAGUGGUUGGUGUGUUGCAUAGUUCUAGGGAUUGGAUUUCAUUGAAAACCCACCAAAUGACUCCUCCCGCUGUAUUAUGAUGUUCCCCAAGUUUUGGACUCAAUCCGAUAUCGAUUUGUCCAUGAAAUCGGACAAUUCAGGUUCGUACGAAGUUCGUUAUGAAAUGGAGUGGUUGGUGUAUUGCAUAGUUUUGGCCAUUGGAUUUCACUCAAAACUCACCGAAUGACUCCUCCCACCAUAUUAUGAUGUUCCCUAUGUUUUGGACUCAAUCCGAUAUCGAUUGGUCCAUGAAAUCGGACAAUUCAGGUUCAUACGACGUUCGUUCCAAAAUGGAGUGGUUGUUGUAUUGCAUUGUUUUAGCCAUUGGAUUUCAUUCAAAACUCACAAAAUAACGCUUCCCACAACGUUAUGUUGUUCCCCUAGUUUUGGACUCAAUUCGAUAUCGAUUGACCCCUGAAAUUGGACAAUUCAGGUUAGCACGAAGUCAGUUACAAAAUGGAGUGGUUGGUGUACUGCAUAGUUUUAGCCAUUGGAUUUCACUCAAAUCCCACCAAAUGACUCCUCCCACAAUAUUAUGAUGUUCCCCCAGUUUUGGACUCAAUCCAAUAUCGAUUGGUCCACGAAAUCGGACAAUUCAAGUUCGUUCAAAGUUCGUUAUGAAACGGAGUGGUUGGUGUACUGCAUAGUUUUAGCCAUUGGGUUUCACUCAAAACUCACCAAAUGACUCCUCCCACCAUAUUAUGAUGUUCCAUAAGUUUUGGACUCAAUCCGAUAUCGAUUGGUCUAUGAAAUCGGACAAUUCAGGUUCGUACGAAGUUUGUUAUGAAAUGGAGUGGUUGGUGUAUUGCGUAGUUCUAGAGAUUGGAUUUCACUGAAAACCAACCAAAUGACUCCUCCUACUAUAUUAUGAUGUUCCCCCAGUUUUGGACAGAAGGUGAUAUCGUUUGGUUCAUGAAAUCGGACAAUUCAGGUUCGCACGAAGUUCGUUAUGAAAUGGAGUGGUUAGUGUACUGCAUAGUUUUAGCAAUUGGAUUUCACUCAAAACUUACCAAAUGACUCCUCCCACCAUAUUAUGAUGUUGACCAAGUUUUGGGCUCAAUCCGAUAUUGAUUGAGCCAUCAAAUUGGACAAUUCAAUUUUGUACGAAGUUCGUUAAUCAAAUGGAGUUGUUGGUGUAUUGCAUAGUUUUAGGGAUUGGAUUUCACUCAAAACUCACCAAGUGACUCCUCCCACCAUAUUAUGAUGUUGACCAAGUUUUGGGCCCAAUCUGAUACCGAUUGAAGUAUGAAAUCGGACAAUUCAAUUUCGUACGGAUUUCGUUCAUCAAAUGGAGUUGUUGGUGUAUUGCAUAGUUUUAGCAAUUGGAUUUCUCUCGAAACUUACUAAAUGACUCCUCCCAUCAUAUUUAGAUGUUGACCAAGUUUUGGGCUAAAUCUGAUAAUUGAAUCAAGAAAUCGGACAACUCAAGUUCGCACGAAGUUCGUUCUGUAAAUGGAGUGGUUGGUUUAUUGCAUACUUUUAGCGAUUGGAUUUCACGAAAAACUCACCAAAUUUCUCCUCCCACCAUAUUAUGAUGUUGACCAUGUUUUGGGCUCAAUCCGAUAUCGAUUGUCCCAAGAAAUCGGAUAAAAUUCAAGUUCAUAGGAAGUUUGUUCCGUAGAUGGACUGGUUGGUAUAUUGCAUAGUUUUAGAGAUUGGAUUUCACUCAAAACCCACCAAAUGACUCCUCCCACCAUAUUAUGACUUGACCAAGUUUUGGGCUCAAUCCGAUAUCGAUUGAACCAUGAAAUCGGACAAUUCAAUUUCGUACGAAGUUCAUUCAUCAAAUAGAGUUGUUGGUGAAUUGCAUAAUUUUAGAGAUUCGAUUUCACUGAAAACUCACCAAAUGACUACUCCCACCAUAUUAUGAUGUUAACAAAGUUUUGAGCUCAAUCCGAUAUCUAUUCCCAACGAAAUUGGACAAUUCAAGUUCGUACGAAGUUCGUUCAGUAUAUGGAGUGGUUGGUGUAUUGUAAAGUUUUAGCGAUUGGAUUUCACUCAAAACUCACUCAAAGACUCCUCCCACAAUAUUAUGAUGUUCACCAAGUUUUGGGUUCAAUCCGAUAUCCAUUGCCCAAUGAAAUUGGAUAAUUCAUGUUCGUACGAAGUUCGUUCUGUAAAUGGAGUGGUUGGUGUAUUGCAUAGUUUUAGCGGUUGGAUUUCACUCAAAACUCACCAAAUGACCCGUCCCACCAUAUUAUGAUGUUGACCAUGUUUUGGGCCCAAUUCGAUAUCGAUUGAACCAUGAAAUCGGACUAUUCAAUUUCGUACGAAGUUUGUUCAUCAAAUGGAGUUGUUGGUGUAUUGCAUAGUUUUACUUACUGGAUUUCACUCAAAACACACCAAAUGACUCCUCCCACCAUAUUAUGAUGUUGACCAAGUUUUGGGCUCAAUCCUGUAUCGAUUGAGAAAUGAAAUUAGACAAUUAAAGUUCGUACGAAGUUCGUUCCGUAAAUGGAGUGGUUGGUGUAAUGCAUAGUUUUAGAAAUUGGAUUUUACUCAAAACCCACCAAAUGACUCCUCCCACCAUAUGAUGUUGACCAAGUUUUGGGCUCAAUCCAAUAUCGAUUGCCCAAUGAAAUUCGACAAUUGAAGUUUGUAAGAAGUUUGUUCCGUAAAUGGAGUGGUUGGUGUAUUGCAUAGUUUUGGUAAUUGGAUUUCACUCAAAACUCACCAAAUGACUCCUCCCACCAUAUUAUGAUGUUGACCCAGUUUUGGGCCCAAUCCGAUAUCGAUUGAACCAUGAAAUCAGACAGUUCAAUUUCGUACGAAGUUCGUUCAUCAAAUGGAGUUGUUGGUGUAUUGCAUAGUUUUGGUAAUUGGAUUUCACUCAAAACUCACCAAAUGACUCCUCCCACCAUAUUAUGAUGUUGACUCAGUUUUGGGCCCAAUCCGAUAUCGAUUGAACCAUGAAAUCGGACAGUUCAAUUUCGCACGAAGUUCGUUCAUCAAAUUGAGUUGUUGGUGUAUUGCAUAGUUUUAGCGAUUGGAUUUCACUCAAAACUCACCAAAUGACUCCUCCCACCAUAUUAUGACGUUGACCAAGUUUUAGGCUCAAUUUGAUAUCGAUUGAACCAAGAUGUCGGAAAAUUCAGGUUCGUACGAAGUUCGUUCUGUAAUUGGAGUGGUUGGUGUACUGCAUACUUUUAGGGAUUCGAUUUCACUCAAAACUCACCGAACGACUCCUCCCACCAUAUUAUGAUAUUGACCAAGUUUUGGGCUCAAUCUGAUAUCGAUUGAACCAUGAAAUCGGACAAUUCAAGUUCGUACAAAGUUCGUUCAUCAAAUGGAGUUGUUGGUGUAUUGCAUAGUUUUAGCGAUUGGAUUUCUCAAAAAAAUCACCAAAUGACUCCUCCCACCAUAUUAUGAUGUUGACCAAGUUUUGGGCUCAAUCCGAUAUCGAUUGCCCAAUGAAAUGGGACAAUUCAAGUUCGUACGAAGUUCGUUCUGUAAGUGGAGUGGUUGGUGUAUUGCAUAGUUUUAGCAAUUGGAUUUCAUUCAGAACUCACCAAAUGACACCUCCCUCCAUAUUAUGAUGUUGAUUGACCAAGUUUUCUACUCAAUCCGAUAUCGAUUGAACCAAGAAAUCGGACAAUUCAAGUUCGUACGAAGUUCGUUCAUCAAAUGGAGUUGUUGGUGUAAUGCAUAGUUUUAGAGAUUGGAUUUCACUCAAAACUCACCAAAUGGCUCCUCCCACCAUAUUAUGAUGUUGACCAAGUUUUGGGCUCAAUCCGAUAUCGAUUGAGCCAAGAAGUCGGACAAUUAAGGUUCGUACGAAGUUCAUUAUGUAAUUGGAGUGGUUGGUGUACUGCAUAGUUUUAGGGAUUGGAUUUCACUGAAAACUCACCGAAUGACUACUCCCACCAUAUUAUGAUGUUGACCAAGUUUUGGGCUCAAUCCGAUAUCGAUUGAACUAAGAAAUCGGACAAUUCAAGUCCGUACGAAGUUCGUUCAUCAAAUGGAGUUGUUGGUGUAAUGCAUAGUUUUAGAGAUUGGAUUUCACUCAAAACUCUCCAAAUGACUCCUCCCACCACAUUAUGAUGUUGACCAAGUUUUGAGUUCAAUCCGAAAUCGAUUGCCCAAUGAAAUUGGACAAUUCAAGUUCGUACGACCUUUGUUCCGUAAAUGGAGUGGUUGGUGUAUUGCACUAUUUUAGUGAGUGGAUUUCAGUCAAAACCCACCAAAUGAGUCCUCCCACCAUAUUGUGAUGGUGACCAAGUUUUGGGCUCAAUUCGAAAUCGAUUGAACCAUGAAAUCAGACUAUUCAAUUUCAUACGAAGUUUGUUCAUCAAAUGGAGUUGUUGGUGUAUUGCAUAGUUUUAGCAAUUAGAUUUCUCCCAAAACUCACCAAAUGACUCCUCCCACCAUAUUAUGAUGUUGACCAAGUUUUGGGCUCAAUCCGAUAUCGAUUGAACCGAGAAAUCGUACAAUUCAGGUACGUACGAAGUUCGUUCUGUAAGUGGAGUGGUUGGUGUAUUGCAUAGUUUUAGCGAUUGGAAUUCAAUCAAAACUCACCAAAUGAAUCCUCCCACCAUAUUAUGAUGUUGACCAAGUUUUGGGCUCAAGCCGAUAUCGAUUGGACCAAGAAGUCGGACAAUUCAGGCUCGUACGAAGUUCGUCCCGUAAAUGGAGUGGUUGGUGUAUUGCAUAGUUUUAGCAAUUGGAUUUCAUUCGGAGCUCACCAAAUGACACCUCCCACCAUAUUAUGAUGUUGACCAAGUUUUCGGCUCAGUCCGAUAUCGAUAGAACCAAGAAAUCAGACAAUUCAAG